This 788-nucleotide ribosomal RNA is filed under the name uncultured archaeon. RNAcentral's name for it is "bacterial SSU rRNA". It matches the Rfam family "Archaeal small subunit ribosomal RNA", at positions 85 to 879 of the family's 1478-position model. The record is from RNAcentral.
ACGGCUCAGUAACACGUUGAUAAUCUGACCUUAGGUCAGGGAUAACCUCGGGAAACUGAGGCUAAAACCUGAUAAGAAACUUGUUCUGGAAAGAAGUGUUUCUUAAAAGCAAUGCCUAAGGGUGAGUCAGCGGCCGAUUAGGUUGUUGGUGGGGUAAAGGCCCACCAAGCCUGUGAUCGGUAGGGGCCUUGAAAGAGGUUGCCCCGAGAGGGGAACUGAGAUACUGUCCCUAGCCCCACGGGGUGCAGCAGGCGCGAGAACUCUACAAUGCACGAAAGUGUGAUAGGGGAACCCUGAGUGCUCAGUUAUACUGGGCUUUUGCCAAGAGUAAAAAUCUUGGCGAAUAAGUGGUGGGUAAGACGGGUGCCAGCCGCCGCGGUAACACCCGCGCCACAAGUCGCAAUCGCUAUUAUUGGGCCUAAAGCGUCCGUAGCAGGUUCUGUAAAUCUUUUGUGAAAUUGUUGCGCUCAACGUAACAGCGGGCAAGAGACACUGCAGAACUUGGGAUCGGGAGGAGUCAGAGGUAUUUUUUGGGGAGCGGUAAAAUGCUAUAAUCCAAGAAGGACCACCGAUGGCGAAAGCAUCUGACUAGAACGAAUCCGACUGUGAGGGACGAAAGCUAGGGGAGCGAACCGGAUUAGAUACCCGAGUAGUCCUAGCCGUAAACGCUGUGAGCUAGGUGUUGCGCAAUCUUCGAGAUUGCGCAGUAUCGAAGUGAAGACGUUAAGCUCACCGCCUGGGAAGUACGGUCGCAAGGCUGAAACUUAAAGGAAUUGGCGGGGGAGCAC